CCUACGGGAGGCAGCAGUGAGGAAUAUUGGUCAAUGGACGAGAGUCUGAACCAGCCAAGUAGCGUGAAGGAUGACUGCCCUAUGGGUUGUAAACUUCUUUUAUAUGGGAAUAAAACGUUCCACGUGUGGGAUUUUGUAUGUACCAUAUGAAUAAGGAUCGGCUAACUCCGUGCCAGCAGCCGCGGUAAUACGGAGGAUCCGAGCGUUAUCCGGAUUUAUUGGGUUUAAAGGGAGCGUAGGUGGAUUGAUAAGUCAGAUGUGAAAGUUUGCGGCUCAACCGUUAAAUUGCAGUUGAAACUGGCAGUCUUGAGUACAGGAGAGGUGGGCGGAAGUCGUGGUGUAGCGGUGAAAUGCUUAGAUAUCACGAAGAACUCCGAUUGCGAAGGCAGUUCACUGGACUGCAACUGACACUGAGGCUCGAAAGUGUGGGUAUCAAACAGGAUUAGAUACCCGUGUAGUC
Molecule: ribosomal RNA, 460 nt
Filed under: uncultured bacterium
Lineage: Bacteria
Description: partial 16S ribosomal RNA
Rfam family: Bacterial small subunit ribosomal RNA
Source: RNAcentral